This 253-nucleotide ribosomal RNA is filed under the name uncultured bacterium. RNAcentral's name for it is "partial 16S ribosomal RNA". It matches the Rfam family "Bacterial small subunit ribosomal RNA", at positions 524 to 776 of the family's 1533-position model. The record is from RNAcentral.
UACGUAGGUGGCAAGCGUUGUCCGGAUUUAUUGGGCGUAAAGCGCGUGUAGGCGGUUUCUUAAGUCUGAUGUGAAAGCCCUGGGCUCAACCCAGGAAGUGCAUUGGAUACUGGGAGACUUGAAUACGGGAGAGGGUAGUGGAAUUCCUAGUGUAGGAGUGAAAUCCGUAGAUAUUAGGAGGAACACCGGUGGCGAAGGCGGCUACCUGGACCGAUAUUGACGCUGAGGAGCGAAAGCCAGGGGAGCAAACGGG